UACAAUGUGGUGAAAAACACUCUGAAUUUGGAUUCAGAGAACCUGGGUCCUAAUCCCAGCUUUGUCA
This 67-nucleotide transfer RNA is filed under the name Monodelphis domestica (gray short-tailed opossum). It matches the Rfam family "tRNA". Rfam says of the family: Transfer RNA (tRNA) molecules are approximately 80 nucleotides in length. Their secondary structure includes four short double-helical elements and three loops (D, anti-codon, and T loops). Lineage: Eukaryota; Metazoa; Chordata; Mammalia; Didelphimorphia; Didelphidae. The record is from Rfam by way of RNAcentral.